CCCGCCACUAUACCUGCCUGCAUGGUGACUGGUAUGCUCCAGUGGGGGCCUGCAUAGACCCAGCUCUAGGAAGCAGGGCUGCCCCAACUGAUGGGCAACUCUGUGCCAAAAGGCCUGGAACAUGC
This is a small nucleolar RNA of Paramormyrops kingsleyae, 125 nucleotides long. Ensembl annotates it as small nucleolar RNA SNORA65. The record is from Ensembl. Lineage: Eukaryota; Metazoa; Chordata; Actinopteri; Osteoglossiformes; Mormyridae.